Long non-coding RNA from Mauremys mutica (yellowpond turtle), 2121 nucleotides. RefSeq lists it as uncharacterized. The transcript has 4 exons. The record is from RefSeq and is a predicted model, not a curated record. Lineage: Eukaryota; Metazoa; Chordata; Testudines; Geoemydidae.
GGACAUCCUUCUAAGGAAACAAGAAUAGUCCUCAGGUUUCUGCCUUCUGCAUAACUGGCUUACCAAGGAAAAAGACGUCACAUGUCAAAGUCUACUGCCCUUAUGAGUGAGAGUGACGAGACUGCGAGCGUUGUUGGUGCCAGGCAGGAGCCGUCCAUCUGGGAGCAGAACAGCUGCUACUAUCACUGAGAUAAGUAUCUGUUUUGCUGAGAGUUCUGCUCACGGCCCACCUGGCUACAGGUAGAGACACCCCGUUAGGUGGGGUGGGUUUGUAAGAAAAGGUUCCUGACUAGCUGUGGUUUUGAGGGAGACACGGUCCCCAUUUUCAGGGGCUGAUGAUUUCUCUGGCCAGGAUCGGUGUGUCCUCGGCAGGAGAAGGUUAGAUCCAUGAGGAUGACUCCAGGUGAGGAAUUGUCCAGGAGCAGCAGCUGAAGGAGAAAGUGGCAGACGCAGACCUGAGGAGCCUGGACAUCCUUCUUAGCAGACAUGAGUGGUCCUCAGAUUUCUGCCUCCCGCACAACUGGCUGUGAGUAAGCGGUCAGUGCUUGGAAUCCCUCAUCUGUAGUGGCUCCGGUUUUGUUCAGAGGCUCUGAAUUUCUUCAUUGGACACAGUGCUCUGUGGGAUUCAGAUGAGGCAAAGGCACAAGUCUCCUGUGCAGAUGCUGGGUUUAGUACCAAGUGGAGAGUCAGAGUCCACUCCGCACAUGCCAUGGAAAGGGAGCGAGAGCUGGGAGGUUCUAAGCAUUGUUGAUGCCAGGGAAGAGCCAUCCAGCUGGGAGUGGAGCAAGGACCACUGUCAGUGAGAUAAGUGUCUUGUUAGGUGAAGGCUCUGCUGUGGUUAUGAGGGAGACAAGGUCCCUAUUUUCAGGGGCUGCUCAGUCCUCUGGCCAGUACCGGUGUGUCCUCUGCAGCGGAAGGUUGGAUUCAGGAGGAUGACUCCAGGUGACAAGUUGCUUGCCUUCCUCCCGUGUUUCUCAUUUUCUCGCUCUCUGUCUCUUUAGUGUGUUGGCCAACGCUCUCUCUUAAUCUGUCCUUUCCUUUCCUUGUGCCAUCUCCCUUCUUAGGACACAGGCAGGCCUGCGAGGUGUGCAUCUCCACAGGUUAGGUCUUGAAAGCCCUGGAGUAGUAGGAGGGGACGAAAACCAUGCGGGGUAGUGGGUGCGAGAGUGGAGCAGUGACUGUCAGUAUUGAAGCGGUCUCUGUUGAAGUGGGGCUGAUGUAGAUGUGGUGGAAGAGGGAGGCAGGAUUGAGGGCAACAUUUCAAGCACCAUUAGAGCUGUGUGUAGAGAUGGCGCAUGCUUGGCUUUUACAGCUGCACUUCCAGAGGAAUUGUCCAGGAGCUCAAGCCGGAGGAGAAACUGGCAGAGGUGGAUCUGAGCAGCUUGGACAUGGUUCUAACCAGACAGGAACAGUCCUCAGCUUUCUGCCUUCUGAACAACUGGCUGUGAGUAAGAGGUCAGUGCUUUCAAUUCCUUAUCUGUACUCGCUGUAGUUUACUUCACAGGCCUUGUGCUUCCUCGCUGGGUACAGGACACUAUGGUAUUAAGGCUGGGGAAGGGACAAGAGUCUCCUGAGCAAAGUGACUAUUUUGGGUGCAGUUACAAUGGAUCCCUUCUAGUUGCAGAUGUAAAGUAGUAAUAGGAGAUGGUUUGAUGGCGGAGCCGUGGGAGAUGUGAGAUGAAGAGACUACGUGACAUUGCAGAUGGAGAUGCUAAUUUGUUUGUUUUUUCUCUCCUCUGCUGGGUUUCAUACCAAGGAAAAAUAAGUCACAUGUCAGUCUACUGCCCUCAUGCAAUAGAAAGUGAGUGAGAGCAGCGAGCCUGUGAACAUUGUUCAUGCCAGGCAAGAGCCGUUCAUUUGGGAGCCAAGCAGAUGCCACUGUCAGUGAGAAGUGUCUGUUUUGCUGAGGGUUCUGUUAAUAGCCCAUCUGACUCCAGGUACAGACACCCUGUUAGCUGGGGCUGGUUUGUCAGAAGAGUUUCCUGACUAGCUGGGGAUACAAGGGAGACAAGGUCCCCAUUUUCAGGGGCUUGUCAUUGCUCUGUUCACAAGCAGUGUGUCCUCCGCAGGAGAAGGUUGGAUCCAGGAGGAUGACUCCAGAUGGUGAGUUACUUGCCUUUC